AGUCGUGUUCCUCGUUCCUACCUGUGAAGUGAGAGGAUUGUACCUACUUCAGAGUUCGGGCACCAAGGCACAUCUUAGUAUUUUGACUCUUCAGAAACAAGAGCCUAAUACCUGAUCUCAGGAGAAAGCCCAGUCCUUGCACAUGUGCGAGCAAGCAGGUUUCCUGGACCUCUCCAUCUGGUAGCUUAGGGCAGGGAAUGGCAAGGAGGCUUUGCAGAGAAGAGAGAAGUGCAGCCAGCAACCGUCCAGAAAACCAUUUUCCUCUUCGGCUACCACUUUUCUUCUUCGGAGGUCCACUAGCGUAUGUGGCGUAAAAGGAGACCAAAACCACAAAGAGGCACCAAGUGUCGGUGAGUCCCACUUGCUUCUAAGCCAGCCUGGGAUGGAUAGGCUGAAGGCGCUGCUCCUGACAUCUAGGCUCCGAGGGACGCAGGCUGUGAUGCCUGGUGGGUUGGAGCUCCGAAAGCACUGAUUCAGCAUCCUUGAGCUUGCAGUUUUGCAUACCGUAUUUAUAGCAAACGACACUGUGUGAUCUGGGCUUUGAGUUUUGCAUGCAGAUAGCAGGGGGAAAAAUACAUCUUCAUAGGAAAAGACAAAACAAGGAUUUUCUCUUCAAAACUCCAAGUUGUUCCAGGCAUGGGAAGCGAUGAACGUGCACUCCUCUCUAGUUUUCAGCAUCUUUUCUGUGGGGCUGAGGUCUGUCUCUUCUGUAGAAGAAUGCCUCUUCCCUUCCUCCCUGCUGCCCCGGCUGCUGGGCUGCACGGCACAUGCCCUUUCUCAGGAACUCAUCCUUAGCUAACUGGCCCGGAGGUCUGGGCUAACAGGCUGGAAAAUUACAGCCAGCUCCGUCAGCCUUCCAGGAGGAGAGCUGCUGGUCCUCGGAGGAGGGCGAUGGCUGCGUCAGGCCGUGCUGAUGGGCUGCUGGCUUUCUUCCACUGGUGUCUGUGCCUGCAGCGUCUUCCAGCCCUUUCUGCACGGGGCAAUCCCAGCAGAGGCUGAGCUCGGACGAGGCAGGUUGUUCCCACACGUGCAACCAGCCCCCAUCAACAGGACGAGGGGGCGCAGAGGAUGCAGCAAGGAGAGGAAGAGGAGGCUCACAUCUCGCUGGGUGUAUCUGUCACAAGUCGGUCAUGGAGAUUUUCCUCCUGUCUUCCAGGUUUAGAUGUGUGUACGUGAGAAUUUAAGUAUUCCAGAUGGCUUUUAGAAUAAAGGUCUUAACGUUGCCUA
Cygnus atratus (black swan) is the source of this 1227-nucleotide long non-coding RNA. RefSeq lists it as uncharacterized. NCBI's taxonomy places the organism in Eukaryota, Metazoa, Chordata, Aves, Anseriformes, Anatidae. The transcript is spliced from 2 exons. The record is from RefSeq and is a predicted model, not a curated record.